RNAcentral lists this ribosomal RNA (697 nucleotides) under uncultured beta proteobacterium. RNAcentral's name for it is "bacterial SSU rRNA". It matches the Rfam family "Bacterial small subunit ribosomal RNA", at positions 28 to 722 of the family's 1533-position model. The record is from RNAcentral. Lineage: Bacteria; Pseudomonadati; Pseudomonadota; Betaproteobacteria.
AUUGAACGCUGGCGGCAUGCCUUACACAUGCAAGUCGAACGGUAACAGGCCGCAAGGUGCUGACGAGUGGCGAACGGGUGAGUAAUGCAUCGGAACGUGCCCAGUAGUGGGGGAUAGCCCGGCGAAAGCCGGAUUAAUACCGCGUACGACCUGAGGGUGAAAGGGGGGGAUCGCAAGACCUCUCGCUAUUGGAGCGGCCGAUGUCAGAUUAGCUAGUUGGUGGGGUAAAGGCCUACCAAGGCAACGAUCUGUAGUUGGUCUGAGAGGACGACCAGCCACACUGGGACUGAGACACGGCCCAGACUCCUACGGGAGGCAGCAGUGGGGAAUUUUGGACAAUGGGCGCAAGCCUGAUCCAGCAAUGCCGCGUGCAGGAAGAAGGCCUUCGGGUUGUAAACUGCUUUUGUCAGGGAAGAAAUCUUCUGGGUUAAUACCUCGGGAGGAUGACGGUACCUGAAGAAUAAGCACCGGCUAACUACGUGCCAGCAGCCGCGGUAAUACGUAGGGUGCGAGCGUUAAUCGGAAUUACUGGGCGUAAAGCGUGCGCAGGCGGCUUUGCAAGACAGAGGUGAAAUCCCCGGGCUCAACCUGGGAACUGCCUUUGUGACUGCAAGGCUAGAGUACGGCAGAGGGGGAUGGAAUUCCGCGUGUAGCAGUGAAAUGCGUAGAUAUGCGGAGGAACACCAAUGGCGAAGGC